This is a long non-coding RNA of Suricata suricatta (meerkat), 1184 nucleotides long. RefSeq lists it as uncharacterized. The transcript is spliced from 5 exons. The record is from RefSeq and is a predicted model, not a curated record. Lineage: Eukaryota; Metazoa; Chordata; Mammalia; Carnivora; Herpestidae.
CACAGCUAGGACUUGUCACCCUGGCACUGGGCUCCGGUCCCACAGCAUGAACGGCCAGACCUCCCGCCCAUCCCGAGGCUCAGCCGUUGGUGGUGACAUGGUCUGAGUCCCUCAGCUCGGAGGCCAGCUGGGGCCUGGAUGUCCAGCUCCCCUCUUCAUUCAUCCAACAUUUCGACCACAGGCAACUAACUUCACUGGCCUCGGUUUUCCCAUCUAGAGAAACGGGACAAGAGCACCGACCACAGGGGAUGAUUCUGAGGAUUCCUUGAGCACCAAGGGAAGGAAGUCCUCUGGACCAAGCUCAAGUUGGUUGAAGCGAGUGCUCUCAAGGGCCUCUUGGGCAUGCCUCAGUACUCCUUCUCCCCUCUUGUGGCCCCCAAGGCUGGACAUGCCUGCCAUUGAGUUGGUAGGGGAUUCCUCGGCUCUGGCCUAAAGGCGGCAAGAUGGCCAGUUGAGUCUACCCACCUCUGGGAGACACAACAGAGGGGCCCAGGAGGACAGGGCUGAGGUGAAGGGUGAGAAGCCGCACGCUGACCUCGUCACAUCUGCUGACCAAUAAGGCCCGAGGAGGAUGAGCAAACUAUCUCUUCCCCCUGCACAGGCUGCUGGGCAGCCGGGUCUGCACGGAGCCUGACCUUGGCAUGGGGCUGGUGGAAAAGGCUCUCCUCUGCUAGGCUCUGCUCCCUCAGCUCCGUGUGGAGUUCCCAGGGCGCUGGCUGUGUGCUCUCCUGAGGUGUGUGCAGGCUCCGUGGCUCUGUGGCUUUCCGAAAGCCCCCAGGACACACACUGUGUUCCUAGAUGCCUAGCCCUCCCCACCCUGCCGCUGGCCAGGCACACUGAGCUGCCUAGGAGUCAGAUGCCCAGUCAGUUACCCAAUGACGCACGCUCCAUUUGCUCCACGGGUCCCAUUUUACAGCUGGGAGCCCUUUCUGCAGAUGAAACACUUGGCAGGAGCCGAAUAUGAGGAACGUACUUGACGGAAGAGCUCUGAGGCCUCCGCACAGCACAGCCCUCCAUCUCCAGAAUGAAGACUUGAUGGCCGGCGCUCCAGGGGCCAUUUUGGAACACGUGGCCCACUUAAGGGUAGGAGUUGCACAGAAGUGGCAGAGCAGAAAGAUGGAAGGUCUGAGUUGCUGAGGACUUUAAGGAGCUUCCCAAUCCUUGCUGGACUUCUUUAUAUGAGA